This 289-nucleotide long non-coding RNA is filed under the name Hordeum vulgare. RNAcentral's name for it is "long non-coding RNA (HVUL_LNC012783)". The record is from RNAcentral. Lineage: Eukaryota; Viridiplantae; Streptophyta; Magnoliopsida; Poales; Poaceae.
GUUUAUUCUUAUUUUUUUCACAAGUGAAGUGCGAAUCCAAGUCCGAAGCUGUGAAGCAUAUCAGCAAAGAGUAGCAUAUUAUGUGUUGUAAUUGUAGGCAGUAGUAGGCUUAUUUGGGCUGUAGUAUAAUGUAACUAUUGUAAUAGACUAUUGUAGUGUUGUUUUGGACGAAUUCCGUUUUCUCUUUGGAUUGUUCAAAAUAAUGAUUGUGUAUGUGAUUUGAAUACCCUAGUAAUGGUAACUUGGAAAAGGGGUUCAAGUUAUAAUGGUUGUUUGGCAUAUUUUGAAA